Molecule: ribosomal RNA, 524 nt
Filed under: uncultured bacterium
Lineage: Bacteria
Description: bacterial SSU rRNA
Rfam family: Bacterial small subunit ribosomal RNA
Source: RNAcentral
AACGAACGCUGGCGGCGUGGAUAAGACAUGCAAGUCGAACGAGGAACCUAUGAAGCUUGCUUUGAAGGUUCCUAGUGGCGAACGGGUGAGUAUCACGUGAGCAACCUGCCCGGAAGUGGGGGAUAGCCUGGGGAAACUCGGAUUAAUACCGCAUACGGUCGUGUAGGACAUCCUACAUCGACCAAAGCUGGGGAUCUUCGGACCUGGCGCUUCCGGAUGGGCUCGCGGCGUAUCAGCUUGUUGGUGGGGUAACGGCCUACCAAGGCGAUGACGCGUAGCUGGUCUGAGAGGAUGGUCAGCCACACUGGGACUGAGACACGGCCCAGACACCUACGGGUGGCAGCAGUCGAGAAUCAUUCGCAAUGGGCGAAAGCCUGACGGUGCGACGCCGCGUGGAGGAUGAAGGCCCUAGGGUCGUAAACUCCUGUCAUCAGGGAGUAAGGUUCUCGGUGAAUAACCGACGAAAUUGAUAGUACCUGAAGAGGAAGAGACGGCUAACUCUGUGCCAGCCGCCGCCGUAAUAC